RNA transcript from Mirounga angustirostris (Northern elephant seal), 3341 nucleotides. RefSeq lists it as uncharacterized. The transcript has 3 exons. NCBI's taxonomy places the organism in Eukaryota, Metazoa, Chordata, Mammalia, Carnivora, Phocidae. The record is from RefSeq and is a predicted model, not a curated record.
GAGACAGAGAGCAUGAGAGGGAGGAGGGUCAGAGGGAGAAGCAGACUCCCUGCCGAGCAGGGAGCCCGAUGCGGGACUCGAUCCCGGGACUCCAGGAUCAUGACCUGAGCUGAAGGCAGUCGCUUAACCAACUGAGCCACCCAGGCGCCCUAGAUUUUAUUUUUAAGUAAUCUCUGUACCCAAUGUGGGGCUUGAACCUACAGCCCUGAGAUCAAAAAUCACAUGCCCCACUGACUGAGCCAGCCAGGUGCCCCAAACCCAAUGAUCUUUAAAUGAAGAGUGACUUAGUACAGAAUGCACUUACUCUUAAAAAUUUUGCUUUAAUUAUACAUGUAAUUUAAUUAGAAGACAGAUAAAAAAGAUCCCUACAAUUCUUUUUUUUUUUUUUAAAUAUUUUAUUUAUUUAUUUGAGAGAGAGAGAGUGAGAGACAGAGGGCAUGAGAGGGAGGAGGGUCAGAGGGAGAAGCAGACUCCCCGCUGAGCAGGGAGCCCGAUGCGGGACUCGAUCCCGGGACUCCAGGAUCAUGACCUGAGCCAAAGGCAGUCGCUUAACCAACUGAGCCACUCAGGCGCCCAAGAUCCCUACAAUUCUAUGAGUAUUAUGUCUAUGUUGUAUAUUUUAGAUUUUUUUUGCAGGUGUAUUUUUAACUUUUUCCUUUUUUUUUUAAGAUUUAUUUAUUUAUUUUAGAGAGAGAGAGCACGGUGGGAAGGGGCAGAGGGAGAGGGAGAGAGAGUCUCAAGUAGACUCUGCUGCGCACAGAGCCUGACGUGGAGCUCCAUCCCAAGGUGCCGAGAUCAUGACUGGAGCCAAAACCAAGAGUGGGAUGCUUAACUGACUGGACCACCCAGUUCCAGAAAGCUGACUCUGAUCUGGAUUACAUUCAAUACAGGCUGGAAUAUGAAAUCAAGACUAAUCAUCCUGAUACAGCAGGCAAGCUGUCACCACCGAGUAAAGAAGAGAAAACUGCGGCAGAGCAAUUAAAAUCUUUCAUGUCAGACUUAUGAAGAAAUGGACUUGCAAAAGGGAAUUCUAAUGGAGAAGAGAGCUAUCCCAGAAAGAUUUAGGAAGAUGUCUCGUUAGCACUUGAUGACUAGAGGUGGGGGAAUGGAGAAGAAGAUUUGGCUGGAGUGACUGGAUAAUGAUGCCUUUCACAAGAGAGGGGACUAUAAAAAGGGCAGAUACUAUAGGAAUAAAGUUUAGCCAAAAGGAUGGAAUGGGAAUAAAGAGAUUUAAAAAUAUAUAUGCACACACACUUAGUCUUGUAAUUUCGAGCAAGGAAGUCACAUAACUCUAUUUUGCAUCUGUUUUUGUGUAAUUGGGAUAAUAUGGAUGUCCUGGCCUAUCAUGAAAGGAUAUAUGUACUAUCAGUCAGAUGUGAAUGAGCAUGCUUUGGAAAUUAAAGGAUAGAAAAAAUAUUUGUAUUACAUUAUAUAUAUGUAUAUAAUUUUACUUUUGAAAAUUUUGUUUAUAGGUAAUGGUCACAUUAUUAAUGAGACUGCUAAUAUGUGACCUAUAGUCCUCCACAAAAGCUAACUUUAGUAAUAAUAAAUUGGCUUUUCUGUGAUAGUCUCACUUUUUUUUUCCUAUUCCUUUUGCCGCUAAUGUUGAGCAACUGAACUAUGCUUUCAAAUGCUGUUUUAGACUGUCCCUGUUGUAUAUCAACACUACCUUUGUUCUCCUUCAGCCUGUAUUACUGUAAUCGUUCAUUCUGUAUGAAAGCUAAGAAACUGAAAUCAGAGGAUCACUUGCCAGUGUGUGUGUAAAUUUCCCUAUUCAUUUUUUUUUUUUCUUUUUAAGAUUUUAUUUGACAGAGAGAGACACAGCGAGAGAGGGAACACAAGCAGGGGGAGUGGGAGAGGGAGAAGCAGGCUUCCCGCAGAGCAGUGAGCCCGAUGCGGGGCUCGAUCCAGGACCCUGAGAUCAUGACCUGAGCCGAAGGCAGAUGCUUAAUGACUGAGCCACCCAGGCGCCCUUCCCUAUUCUUUUUUUUUUUUUCUUCUUUAAGAUUUUAUUUACUUAUUUGACAGAGAGAGACACAGGGAGAGAGGGAACACAAGCAGGGGGAGUAGGAGAGGGAGAAGCAGGAUUCCCGCGGAGCAAGGAGCCCGACGCGGGGCUCGAUCCCAGGACCCUGGGAUCGUGACCUGAGCUGAAGGCAGACACCUAAGGACUGAGCCACCCAGGCGCCCCCUCCCCUAUUCAUUUUUAAAUAACUAUUUUAAAAUAACUACUGGCAAUAAUGUAAUCAUAGGGACAGAUCUUGAUACAAAGAGGUUAAUCACAGGGUUAUUUAUACUAACAGUACAUAUACAUAUCUGGCUAAUAGUAGGUAAAUAGGAAAAUAAAUCAUAGUGUAUCCAUACAAUAAGAGGUGAAGCUGCCAAUAAUUUAUUACUGUUAAUGUUCUGGGAAAUGCUGAAGUUAUGUUAAAUGGGGGAGAGGUCAGAAGCAGAGAUUGCAGUUUUGUACUUAAGAUUGGGCUUUGGAGUCUGAGAUGUAAAUAGCAGGUUUUAAAUUCUAGCUGUGUGAUCCUGAGCAAAUCACUUAACUUCUGCGUGUCAGGAUGGCUGGAAGCACAAUGAAAUGGUAGUGUUUGAGUUUGAUAAUUAGUAAUCCUUCAGUGAAUAUUUCUGUAUAUGUAAUAAAAAUGAGGCAUUGAAAAGACUAGGAAAAAUGUAUCAAAUGUUAGCUCUGCAGGUUAUAGAAUUAUACUUUCAUAUAAUUAAAAAUUUGUUAUGAGCAUUUUAUUUGUCCAUUAACAAACCUGUAAUAGGUGAUAAACAGGGUUGGGAGAGUAGCUUCAGUUAAAAUUAUACUGUGUAGUUUGAAUAUUUAAAGAACAGAAAACCCCCAGUUUUUAAAUUACAGAGAAAUAAGUCAUACCUCAGUAACAUAUUUUCUUCAGUACUUGGGCAGUUAAUAUUAAGGAAGUUUUGUCCUGGAAUGGCUCUGGGAUGUGAUGUUGACUGGUGGAAUUAAAAAAUAGUAUCACAAAGAGGACAAGUUCCUGAAGUUUUACCUCUGUGACUUCCUUCACAAUUGUCUUCUAAGUGUUGGUUCUUUCCCUCAGCUCCCUUAAAACUGUUCUCUGUGUACUCCUCUAUAUAUUCAUUUGUUUCCCAAGCUUCAUUUAUUGACUCUGUGGAUGAUUCCCAAAUAUAACUUCUUCCAUUAGAUCUAGAUUCAUAUUUCCAAUAAGAAUGUCUAUCUGAAUAUUCAAAUUGAUCAUGUCUAGAGUACUUACUGAUUUUAUUUUGUCAAUGGCCACUGUUCUUUUACCUGGAAUUAAAAAAUUUGCAUCCCUUUAUCUUCUUAGUCAAUAAAAUCUUUCUGAAAUGUU